GGUUAAGCGACUAAGCGUACACGGUGGAUGCCCUGGCAGUCAGAGGCGAUGAAGGACGUGCUAAUCUGCGAUAAGCGUCGGUAAGGUGAUAUGAACCGUUAUAACCGGCGAUUUCCGAAUGGGGAAACCCAGUGUGAUUCGUCACACUAUCAUUAACUGAAUCCAUAGGUUAAUGAGGCGAACCGGGGGAACUGAAACAUCUAAGUACCCCGAGGAAAAGAAAUCAACCGAGAUUCCCCCAGUAGCGGCGAGCGAACGGGGAGCAGCCCAGAGCCUGAAUCAGUGUGUGUGUUAGUGGAAGCGUCUGGAAAGGCGCGCGAUACAGGGUGACAGCCCCGUACACAAAAAUGCACAUGCUGUGAGCUCGAUGAGUAGGGCGGGACACGUGGUAUCCUGUCUGAAUAUGGGGGGACCAUCCUCCAAGGCUAAAUACUCCUGACUGACCGAUAGUGAACCAGUACCGUGAGGGAAAGGCGAAAAGAACCCCGGCGAGGGGAGUGAAAAAGAACCUGAAACCGUGUACGUACAAGCAGUGGGAGCACGCUUAGGCGUGUGACUGCGUACCUUUUGUAUAAUGGGUCAGCGACUUAUAUUCUGUAGCAAGGUUAACCGAAUAGGGGAGCCGAAGGGAAACCGAGUCUUAACUGGGCGUUAAGUUGCAGGGUAUAGACCCGAAACCCGGUGAUCUAGCCAUGGGCAGGUUGAAGGUUGGGUAACACUAACUGGAGGACCGAACCGACUAAUGUUGAAAAAUUAGCGGAUGACUUGUGGCUGGGGGUGAAAGGCCAAUCAAACCGGGAGAUAGCUGGUUCUCCCCGAAAGCUAUUUAGGUAGCGCCUCGUGAAUUCAUCUCCGGGGGUAGAGCACUGUUUCGGCAAGGGGGUCAUCCCGACUUACCAACCCGAUGCAAACUGCGAAUACCGGAGAAUGUUAUCACGGGAGACACACGGCGGGUGCUAACGUCCGUCGUGAAGAGGGAAACAACCCAGACCGCCAGCUAAGGUCCCAAAGUCAUGGUUAAGUGGGAAACGAUGUGGGAAGGCCCAGACAGCCAGGAUGUUGGCUUAGAAGCAGCCAUCAUUUAAAGAAAGCGUAAUAGCUCACUGGUCGAGUCGGCCUGCGCGGAAGAUGUAACGGGGCUAAACCAUGCACCGAAGCUGCGGCAGCGACGCUGAUGCGUUGUUGGGUAGGGGAGCGUUCUGUAAGCCUGCGAAGGUGUGCUGUGAGGCAUGCUGGAGGUAUCAGAAGUGCGAAUGCUGACAUAAGUAACGAUAAAGCGGGUGAAAAGCCCGCUCGCCGGAAGACCAAGGGUUCCUGUCCAACGUUAAUCGGGGCAGGGUGAGUCGACCCCUAAGGCGAGGCCGAAAGGCGUAGUCGAUGGGAAACAGGUUAAUAUUCCUGUACUUGGUGUUACUGCGAAGGGGGGACGGAGAAGGCUAUGUUGGCCGGGCGACGGUUGUCCCGGUUUAAGCGUGUAGGCUGGUUUUCCAGGCAAAUCCGGAAAAUCAAGGCU
This 1513-nucleotide ribosomal RNA is filed under the name Escherichia coli. RNAcentral's name for it is "partial 23S ribosomal RNA". It matches the Rfam family "Bacterial large subunit ribosomal RNA", at positions 1 to 1557 of the family's 2925-position model. The record is from RNAcentral. Lineage: Bacteria; Pseudomonadati; Pseudomonadota; Gammaproteobacteria; Enterobacterales; Enterobacteriaceae.